GGGUUGUGAGGUUAAGCGACUAAGCGUACACGGUGGAUGCCCUGGCAGUCAGAGGCGAUGAAGGACGUGCUAAUCUGCGAAAAGCGUCGGUAAGGUGAUAUGAACCGUUAUAACCGGCGAUGUCCGAAUGGGGAAACCCAGUGCAAUUCGUUGCACUAUCGUUAACUGAAUACAUAGGUUAACGAGGCGAACCGGGGGAACUGAAACAUCUAAGUACCCCGAGGAAAAGAAAUCAACCGAGAUUCCCCCAGUAGCGGCGAGCGAACGGGGAGCAGCCCAGAGUCUGAAUCAGCUUGUGUGUUAGUGGAACGGUCUGGAAAGUCCGACGGUACAGGGUGAUAGUCCCGUACACCAAAAUGCACAGGUUGUGAACUCGAAGAGUAGGGCGGGACACGUGGUAUCCUGUCUGAAUAUGGGGGGACCAUCCUCCAAGGCUAAAUACUCCUGACUGACCGAUAGUGAACCAGUACCGUGAGGGAAAGGCGAAAAGAACCCCGGCGAGGGGAGUGAAAAAGAACCUGAAACCGUGUACGUACAAGCAGUGGGAGCACCUUCGGGUGUGACUGCGUACCUUUUGUAUAAUGGGUCAGCGACUUAUAUUCUGUAGCAAGGUUAACCGUAUAGGGGAGCCGCAGGGAAACCGAGUCUUAACUGGGCGUUAAGUUGCAGGGUAUAGACCCGAAACCCGGUGAUCUAGCCAUGGGCAGGUUGAAGGUUGGGUAACACUAACUGGAGGACCGAACCGACUAAUGUUGAAAAAUUAGCGGAUGACUUGUGGCUGGGGGUGAAAGGCCAAUCAAACCGGGAGAUAGCUGGUUCUCCCCGAAAGCUAUUUAGGUAGCGCCUCGUGAAUUCAUCUUCGGGGGUAGAGCACUGUUUCGGCUAGGGGGUCAUCCCGACUUACCAACCCGAUGCAAACUACGAAUACCGAAGAAUGUUAUCACGGGAGACACACGGCGGGUGCUAACGUCCGUCGUGAAGAGGGAAACAACCCAGACCGCCAGCUAAGGUCCCAAAGUCAUGGUUAAGUGGGAAACGAUGUGGGAAGGCACAGACAGCCAGGAUGUUGGCUUAGAAGCAGCCAUCAUUUAAAGAAAGCGUAAUAGCUCACUGGUCGAGUCGGCCUGCGCGGAAGAUGUAACGGGGCUAAACCAUGCACCGAAGCUGCGGCAGCGACACUAUGUGUUGUUGGGUAGGGGAGCGUUCUGUAAGCCUGCGAAGGUGUGCUGUGAGGCAUGCUGGAGGUAUCAGAAGUGCGAAUGCUGACAUAAGUAACGAUAAAGCGGGUGAAAAGCCCGCUCGCCGGAAGACCAAGGGUUCCUGUCCAACGUUAAUCGGGGCAGGGUGAGUCGACCCCUAAGGCGAGGCCGAAAGGCGUAGUCGAUGGGAAACAGGUUAAUAUUCCUGUACUUGGUGUUACUGCGAAGGGGGGACGGAGAAGGCUAUGUUAGCCGGGCGACGGUUGUCCCGGUUUAAGCAUGUAGGCUGGUUAUCCAGGCAAAUCCGGAUAAUCAAGGCUGAGGUGUGAUGACGAGGCACUACGGUGCUGAAGUAACAAAUGCCCUGCUUCCAGGAAAAGCCUCUAAGCAUCAGGUAACAUCAAAUCGUACCCCAAACCGACACAGGUGGUCAGGUAGAGAAUACCAAGGCGCUUGAGAGAACUCGGGUGAAGGAACUAGGCAAAAUGGUGCCGUAACUUCGGGAGAAGGCACGCUGGUGUGUAGGUGAAGCCCCUGCGGGUGGAGCUGAGACCAGUCGAAGAUACCAGCUGGCUGCAACUGUUUAUUAAAAACACAGCACUGUGCAAACACGAAAGUGGACGUAUACGGUGUGACGCCUGCCCGGUGCCGGAAGGUUAAUUGAUGGGGUUAUCCGUAAGGAGAAGCUCUUGAUCGAAGCCCCGGUAAACGGCGGCCGUAACUAUAACGGUCCUAAGGUAGCGAAAUUCCUUGUCGGGUAAGUUCCGACCUGCACGAAUGGCGUAAUGAUGGCCAGGCUGUCUCCACCCGAGACUCAGUGAAAUUGAACUCGCUGUGAAGAUGCAGUGUACCCGCGGCAAGACGGAAAGACCCCGUGAACCUUUACUAUAGCUUGACACUGAACAUUGAGCCUUGAUGUGUAGGAUAGGUGGGAGGCUUUGAAGCGUGGACGCCAGUCUGCGUGGAGCCAACCUUGAAAUACCACCCUUUAAUGUUUGAUGUUCUAACGUUGGCCCCUUAUCGGGGUUGCGGACAGUGUCUGGUGGGUAGUUUGACUGGGGCGGUCUCCUCCCAAAGCGUAACGGAGGAGCACGAAGGUUAGCUAAUCCUGGUCGGACAUCAGGAGGUUAGUGCAAUGGCAUAAGCUAGCUUGACUGCGAGCGUGACGGCGCGAGCAGGUGCGAAAGCAGGUCAUAGUGAUCCGGUGGUUCUGAAUGGAAGGGCCAUCGCUCAACGGAUAAAAGGUACUCCGGGGAUAACAGGCUGAUACCGCCCAAGAGUUCAUAUCGACGGCGGUGUUUGGCACCUCGAUGUCGGCUCAUCACAUCCUGGGGCUGAAGUAGGUCCCAAGGGUAUGGCUGUUCGCCAUUUAAAGUGGUACGCGAGCUGGGUUUAGAACGUCGUGAGACAGUUCGGUCCCUAUCUGCCGUGGGCGCUGGAGAAUUGAGGGGGGCUGCUCCUAGUACGAGAGGACCGGAGUGGACGCAUCACUGGUGUUCGGGUUGUCAUGCCAAUGGCACUGCCCGGUAGCUAAAUGCGGAAGAGAUAAGUGCUGAAAGCAUCUAAGCACGAAACUUGCCCCGAGAUGAGUUCUCCCUGAGACUAUAAGUCUCCUGAAGGAACGUUAAAGACGAUGACGUUGAUAGGCCGGGUGUGUAAGCGCAGCGAUGCGUUGAGCUAACCGGUACUAAUGAACCGUGAGGCUUAACCUUACAACGCCGAAG
Molecule: ribosomal RNA, 2923 nt
Filed under: Klebsiella pneumoniae
Lineage: Bacteria; Pseudomonadati; Pseudomonadota; Gammaproteobacteria; Enterobacterales; Enterobacteriaceae
Description: bacterial LSU rRNA
Rfam family: Bacterial large subunit ribosomal RNA
Source: RNAcentral